UUUUAAUGUAAUUUGGAUUUUCUUUAAUGUUUCUAAGGUUUCUGGCACAAUUAAGAAAUCCAGUGGCUCAGUCUUUUACCAAAGAGGUCAUUCUCCUGCCAGACCAUACAUAUACAAAUGUGCCUAGGCGUGCCAGCAAAGCUUGGCUUUUUGAAAAUGGACAUAUAAAAUCUGCAUUGGAAUUUGGCUGUGACUGGGACUCUGUCAAAGUAAUGCAGGCAAUAACAGCGGCCUUCCAGCCUGUUGUAGAGGGAUGCAGGUUACAAAUCUUGAUGCCAUGCCACAACAGACUAGUUGAGCCAUCCCUUAGCUCCAAUCAGUGGAGGCCUUUUAAAAAAAUUGUUUCAUCAGAAGUCCAUAUAUGUCAGGCCUGACAAGGUCAUUUUAAGUGAGGAGAAAGAAUCUUCAUGUUCUGAUGGAGACAGUCACCAUGCAGGGAGCCUUGAUUUCGCCCAGUCAUCGGACAGUGACAACUGUGUCAUUGGUAGCGUAGGUGACAUUUCCAAAGAAGUUGUCUCAGCUAUCGCCACUGUUGAGGCCCAGUCCCUCUUCAAUGAUAACCCUUCCAUCUCUUGUGGUGAUCAAGUUAUCUGGUGUGUUGCCACCCAAGAUAUUUGCACCGAUGAACCUUCCAUCUCAGCUGACACCGCCACCAUGUCCACUAGUGCUCCUGUCAUCACUAUUGAUGAGACUCUCACCCUGUCCAGUGGCUCCUCUUCCAUCUCCAGUGGCAACACCCAUGGCUUACCGAUUGGUCCCACUGCCAAUGCUAGUGGUGACAUGCAUCGGUCCUCUGCUCAUAACACCUCUGGUGUGUCCCACGGUCCCACCCAACCCAGCACAUCUGGCAGUAUUUCAUCCAGCACAUCCUACAGUACAUACCUUGACCUGUUUGAGGAAGAAUACCUCUCUGAUGACCCUGAUGUACAGGAAGCCAUUUCACGGUCUUUAGAUUCCAGUGCAAGUGAGAGUGAUUUAAAGAUGACUUUAGAGAGAAUAAUGGAGCGGAUUGCUUCUCGAGUAAAUAAUGACAGCACUGUACGCUUCAAUAUCAUAAGAAGAAAUGUGCAUCCAGAGCCAUGGGCAGAUCCAAUUUUUCACCCGAGAAGAAGGUAGAUGUUAAGUUCACUGAUGACUAUGGAAUAUCUGAGGGUGCUGUGGACAAUGGAGGACCUACUCGGGAGUUUUUCCGACUCUGUCUACAUGAAAUCAAGGACAACAUUGGCAUCUUUGAGGGUCCCCCUAAUGCUAAAGUCCUCACAUGCAACUCCAAAGCGAUGAAAGACAAUGGAUACUUCUACGCUGGCCAGAUCAUGGCAAUGUCAACUGCCCAUGGGGGGCAGAGUCCAUGUUUCCUGUCUGAACUCUUGUGAGUGUCUUCAAAAGGGUCCAGACAACGUAAAGGUCAAAACUGAACACAUUACUGAUGAAGAAACAAGGUCACAGGUGCAGUCGAUCUUACAGGCUGAGACUGAUUCACAACUGCAAGAGGCAGUUGCACAGGCAGCCAGCUUGAUCAGUCUUGCUGGUCACAAUGUUCGCAUAACACUGGAAAACAAACAAGAGACUGCUUUGGACUUGGCUCACUUGUAUGUCCUCCAGCGAACCCGUGCACCAUUUGAAAGGUUCAGAGAUGGGUUAACAUCUCUUGAUGUCCUAGAUGCUAUCCAGAGAUACCCUCUACAAAGUGCCUUUUUGUGAAGCCCGAAAAGGGUUUCUCCUCCAGAUCAUACACUCUGAAAGAGGGAGUAAUGCAUUCCGAGAAGAGUGCCGGGCCCUGGCUUUCUGGCAAGACUAUCUUCAGGAUGCUGAAAGUAAGUCUGGCAUUUGGCACAGUGUUUCAAUAUGAGACAUUAUUUGGAGUUAAAGCCCUGCAGGGGGCAGAACCUUACUGACGCGCUGGUUUAUUAUUGUCUUCUGCGGUGGGUCAAAUGGUCUUGAGCUGGAAUGAGCAUCUGUCUUCCUAGUUCAGGUGGUGAAUAAAUGGGAGAGUGAUGUGUGAUGCUCCUUCUCCCCUGGUCUCUCAUCCAUAUAUCGCUACUAAAUCCUCCUCUACCUCCACCACCCACAAACUUGUCUGCUGAUACCUUUGCUGCCUUCUUCACAGGCAAAGUGGAGGCUAUAACUAGCCAAU
Long non-coding RNA from Micropterus salmoides (largemouth bass), 2134 nucleotides. RefSeq lists it as uncharacterized. Lineage: Eukaryota; Metazoa; Chordata; Actinopteri; Centrarchiformes; Centrarchidae. The record is from RefSeq and is a predicted model, not a curated record. The transcript has 9 exons.